Molecule: ribosomal RNA, 294 nt
Filed under: uncultured bacterium
Lineage: Bacteria
Description: partial 16S ribosomal RNA
Source: RNAcentral
GGACUACCCGGGUUUCUAAUCCCGUUCGCUGCCCUAGCUUUCGCACCCGAGCGUCAGGACCUUGCCAGGAGACUGCCUUCGCCUUUGGUGUUCCUCCGGAUCUCUACGCAUUUCACCGCUCCACCCGGAAUUCCGUCUCCCCCUCAAGUCCUCAAGUGCAGCCCGUUUUCGUGCGUCCUUUCCCAGUUAAGCCGGGAACUGUCACGCCGAACGCGGCCGACCGCCUGCGUGCCCUUUACGCCCAGUAACUCCGGACAACGCUUGCCCCCUACGUCUUACCGCGGCUGCUGGCAC